This 77-nucleotide transfer RNA is filed under the name Nippostrongylus brasiliensis. It matches the Rfam family "tRNA". Rfam says of the family: Transfer RNA (tRNA) molecules are approximately 80 nucleotides in length. Their secondary structure includes four short double-helical elements and three loops (D, anti-codon, and T loops). Further hydrogen bonds mediate the characteristic L-shaped molecular structure. tRNAs have two regions of fundamental functional importance: the anti-codon, which is responsible for specific mRNA codon recognition, and the 3' end, to which the tRNAs corresponding amino acid is attached (by aminoacyl-tRNA synthetases). tRNAs cope with the degeneracy of the genetic code in two manners: having more than one tRNA (with a specific anti-codon) for a particular amino acid; and 'wobble' base-pairing, i.e. permitting non-standard base-pairing at the 3rd anti-codon position. The record is from Rfam by way of RNAcentral. Lineage: Eukaryota; Metazoa; Nematoda; Chromadorea; Rhabditida; Heligmosomidae.
GGCUCGGUGGUUUAGCUGUCUAACAUCACGGUGCCACAGGUAGACCCGACACGCGGGUUCGAAUCCCGCCUGAGCCG